RNAcentral lists this ribosomal RNA (305 nucleotides) under uncultured prokaryote. RNAcentral describes it as "bacterial SSU rRNA". It matches the Rfam family "Bacterial small subunit ribosomal RNA", at positions 524 to 776 of the family's 1533-position model. The record is from RNAcentral.
UACGUAGGGGGCGAGCGUUGUCCGAAGUUACUGGGCGUAAAGCGCACGUAGGCGGCCCGAUUCGUUGCAUCUAAAAGGCGGCAGCUCAACUGCCGAGUGUGGUGCAAGACGGUCGGGCUUGAGGCAAGCAGAAGAGUGUGGAACUCCGAGUGUAGCGGUGGAAUGCGUAGAGAUUCGGAAGAACACCCAAGGCGAAGGCAGCACUCUGGGCUUGUAUAUUGUUGUUUGUAAAGAAGCAGGCUUCGGUCUGUUGAUGAACAAACGGCACCUGACGCUGAGGAGCGAAAGCCAGGGGAGCAAACGGG